GUGUGUUGUAGCUUGUGUCUUUGAAUAUCAUUGUGGUUCAAGGACUGUCAUUGUGGUUGUAGCUGUUGAGAUUGAACCUUGAUUAAAUCCUUCAAGAGAAGCAAAGAAGCUUGCAGCGUCUUGGGAAGUUCGUGAUGUUUCACGAACUGUUAAUAAAAACAACACAAUGUGUAAUUGGAAUGUCAUGUAGUUCACCAUUAUCACUUUUAAUCUUCAAGUGUGGUAAAAGUCCCAUAAUUACUGAGAGAAACGAGGGAUGAACCCUAAUUCAUUACGAUAAUUUAGGUUGGGGGUUUUUCCGUUAAAUCUUUAAUUUAGGGGUUUUUAACCAAAAUAAAUUUAAUUAGGAGAGGGGGGGGGGGGGGAGGUUACGUUAAAAAUCCUAUUUCAAAUCAAAAUAAUACUUAAAAAUUGAUUUAUAUCAAAAAUUCAUUCAAAAAUAUACAUAUAUUAAAAUUUUGAUUUUUACUAAAAUAUUUUCCAAUAAUCAUUAUAAAAAAAAAUGUUUAUGUAUAAGAAAAAUACAAUACAAAGCCCAAUUUCAAACACAUUUAAAUUAUGGUUUUUAUCUUUCACAUUAAAUUUUAAAAAUAUAAUAUAUAGAUUAUUUAUAUGAUGAUACAUAUAAAAUACUAUUAAUUAUAUGAUUACUUUAUGAUAUAUACAAAAUACUAUUAAUUAUAUGAUGAUACCUAUAUGAUAGAUAAUAUUGACUAGGGGUGGGUGGUCGGAUACCCAUUCGUGUUCGGUUCGGGUCUGUUUGGGUUUCGGGUUUUCUGAGUCAAAGAUUCACCCCCAUUCGGAUAUUUAUAAACUUCGUUUCGG
This 825-nucleotide long non-coding RNA is filed under the name Brassica napus (rape). RNAcentral's name for it is "long non-coding RNA (BNAP_LNC018522)". The record is from RNAcentral. Lineage: Eukaryota; Viridiplantae; Streptophyta; Magnoliopsida; Brassicales; Brassicaceae.